Molecule: ribosomal RNA, 445 nt
Filed under: uncultured bacterium
Lineage: Bacteria
Description: partial 16S ribosomal RNA
Rfam family: Bacterial small subunit ribosomal RNA
Source: RNAcentral
GUGAGGAAUAUUGGUCAAUGGGCGAGAGCCUGAACCAGCCAAGUCGCGUGAAGGAAGACGGCCCUACGGGUUGUAAACUUCUUUUGCAAUGGAAUAAAAAGAGUUACGUGUAAUUCAUUGUAUGUACAUUGCGAAUAAGGAUCGGCUAACUCCGUGCCAGCAGCCGCGGUAAUACGGAGGAUCCGAGCGUUAUCCGGAUUUAUUGGGUUUAAAGGGUGCGUAGGCGGAUUGGAAAGUCAGCGGUGAAAGUUUGCAGCUUAACUGUAAAAUUGCCAUUGAAACUGUCAGUCUUGAGUGCAAAUGAGGUAGGCGGAAUGUGUUGUGUAGCGGUGAAAUGCAUAGAUAUAACACAGAACACCAAUUGCGAAGGCAGCUUACUGGGAUGCAACUGACGCUGAGGCACGAAAGCGUGGGGAUCAAACAGGAUUAGAAACCCGAGUAGUCC